Molecule: long non-coding RNA, 936 nt
Organism: Rhinopithecus roxellana (golden snub-nosed monkey)
Lineage: Eukaryota; Metazoa; Chordata; Mammalia; Primates; Cercopithecidae
Exons: 3
Source: RefSeq, a predicted model, not a curated record
ACCAGGAAAGGCGGGAUGCUGCAAGCACGGGUUAAGUGGAGCCUGGCCAGCAGGGAGCACAGGAAGGAAAUGCAGAGGGCUCCUGGCUGCAGCACCCAGGAGAGUAAUGGAAGUGCCUUUUGCCUCCUGGCAUGAUUCUGAGGCCGCCCCAGCCCUGUGGAACUGCCAAGAUUAUCUCAGGAUUUCAUGAAGAGGAGAAAUGGAGGUCAUUUCCUAGAGAUUAAUGGAGAAUUUGAUUGUGAGAAGAAAAUUGUUUAAGGAGCAGGGGUGGGUGUGGAGGCAAAUGUCACACACUCCAGAAGGUAAAGUGACCUGGCUCUUCCCCUCUUACUCCUUGGAAAGAGGGAAAGCUCAUCAGAGCCAGGACCCUGGAAAAGCGAUGUGAUGAAGAGAAGGAGGCCCUGAAUAGCACCAUCUGAAAGGCAUUUCCAAGGAAGCCAGGGAUGUGACUCUGUCUUGGUUGUGGAGAUCAAAAGGUUUUGUGAAGGAAGCAAUGGCUCUCUAGCCCCUUUCUGGGUGGAUUCUGGGGUAGAGGGAUCUGGUUCCUUUGACAACUGGUUAGUUAUAGCUAUAGGGUGAAGCCAAUUGAGUAAUAUUGGUCUGGGCUUCCAGAGACACAAGGUCUUCUUGAACCAUAAGCUCUCCGAACAAUGCCCCACCUAGGCAGAGCAGAGAACCCUGAACUUUUGCCUGGGGAGAACAAACAAGUGCACGUUCUCGGGAGCCACCAGACCUGGGACUACCCAUUGGACCCCUAACCUCCACUGUUCUUGGCCUCUCUUUCCCAUUAGAUUGUGAGUUCUUUGAGGACAGAGACUACCUCUUCUCCAUCCUUGUUUCCCUAGCCUAAUACACCAUCAAAUAAUGCUGUGGAAAGAAAAAGUAAAGGAAUAAAUAAAUAAACCUUAGAUAAGUGAUCCAUCCACUAAUCCUCCA